ACUACGGGAGGCAGCAGUGAGGAAUAUUGGUCAAUGGGCGGAAGCCUGAACCAGCCAAGUAGCGUGCAGGAUGACGGCCCUACGGGUUGUAAACUGCUUUUAUACGGGAAUAACGCGCCUUACGUGUAGGGCUUUGCAUGUACCGUAUGAAUAAGGACCGGCUAAUUCCGUGCCAGCAGCCGCGGUAAUACGGAAGGUCCGGGCGUUAUCCGGAUUUAUUGGGUUUAAAGGGAGCGUAGGCCGCAUGUCAAGCGUGCUGUGAAAUGUCCGGGCUCAACCCGGGCCUUGCAGCGCGAACUGGCGUGCUUGAGUCCGCGGAAGGCAGGCGGAAUUCGUCGUGUAGCGGUGAAAUGCUUAGAUAUGACGAAGAACCCCGAUUGCGAAGGCAGCUUGCUGCAGCUGAACUGACGCUGAUGCUCGAAAGCGCGGGUAUCGAACAGGAUUAGAUACCCCAGUAGUC
Molecule: ribosomal RNA, 460 nt
Filed under: uncultured bacterium
Lineage: Bacteria
Description: partial 16S ribosomal RNA
Rfam family: Bacterial small subunit ribosomal RNA
Source: RNAcentral